AACUGAAGAGUUUGAUCAUGGCUCAGAUUGAACGCUGGCGGCAGGCUUAACACAUGCAAGUCGAGCGGAUGAAGGUAGCUUGCUACUGGAUUCAGCGGCGGACGGGUGAGUAAUGCUUAGGAAUCUGCCUAUUAGUGGGGGACAACGUUCCGAAAGGGGCGCUAAUACCGCAUACGUCCUACGGGAGAAAGCAGGGGACCUUCGGGCCUUGCGCUAAUAGAUGAGCCUAAGUCGGAUUAGCUAGUUGGUAGGGUAAAGGCCUACCAAGGCGACGAUCUGUAGCGGGUCUGAGAGGAUGAUCCGCCACACUGGGACUGAGACACGGCCCAGACUCCUACGGGAGGCAGCAGUGGGGAAUAUUGGACAAUGGGGGGAAC
Molecule: ribosomal RNA, 377 nt
Filed under: Acinetobacter radioresistens
Lineage: Bacteria; Pseudomonadati; Pseudomonadota; Gammaproteobacteria; Moraxellales; Moraxellaceae
Description: bacterial SSU rRNA
Rfam family: Bacterial small subunit ribosomal RNA
Source: RNAcentral